AUUAUUAUACAUUUUUAGAGGUAAAGGAAGGGCCUGGGAGCUUGGGAGCGAGGACGCUAAUGGUAAAGUGCCUGGGGAGCAGAAGGGGGAGGGAAAGAGCAAGA
Molecule: long non-coding RNA, 104 nt
Organism: Myotis brandtii (Brandt's bat)
Lineage: Eukaryota; Metazoa; Chordata; Mammalia; Chiroptera; Vespertilionidae
Exons: 3
Source: RefSeq, a predicted model, not a curated record